GAUGAACGCUGGCGGCAUGCCUAAUACAUGCAAGUCGUGCGCCCUACUUGUAGGGAGCGGCGGACGGGUGCGUAACGCGUGGGAAUCUGCCCUGAAGUGAGGGAUAAGCCCGAGAAAUCGGGUCUAAUACCGCAUAUGGUCUACGGAUUAAAGCCUUCGGGCGCUUCGGGAGGAGCCUGCGUUCGAUUAGCUUGUUGGUGAGGUAAUGGCUCACCAAGGCUAUGAUCGAUAGCUGGUCUGAGAGGAUGAUCAGCCACACUGGGACUGAGACACGGCCCAGACUCCUACGGGAGGCAGCAGUAGGGAAUUUUCCACAAUGGGCGAAAGCCUGAUGGAGCAAUGCCGCGUGCAGGAUGACAGCCUUCGGGUCGUAAACUGCUUUUAUGAUUGAGGAUUAUGACGUUAGAUCAUGAAUAAGCUUCGGCUAACUCCGUGCCAGCAGCCGCGGUCAGACGGAGGAAGCAAGCGUUAUCCGGAGUGACUGGGCGUAAAGAGAUGCGUAGGCGGUAUAUUAAGCGGACAGUGAAAUCUUGAGGCUCAACCUUGAGGCUACUGUCUGAACUAAUAUACUAGAGCCCGAUAGGGGAAGCUGGAAUUCCUAGUGUAGGAGUGAAAUCCGUAGAUAUUAGGAGGAACACCAAUGGCGAAGGCAGGCUUCUGGAUCGGUGCUGACGCUCAGGCUCGAAAGCGUGGGGAGCGAACGGGAUUAGAUACCCCGGUAGUCCACGCCGUAAACGAUGGAUACUAGCUAGUUGGAGGUAUCGACCCCUUCAGCAGCGAAGCUAACGCGUUAAGUAUCCCGCCUGGGGAGUACGGUCGCAAGAUUAAAACUCAAAGGAAUAGACGGGGACCCGCACAAGCGGUGGAGCGUGUUCUUUAAUUGGAUGAUAAGCCAAGAACCUUACCCAGACUUGACAUCCUUGGAAGGACUACGAAAGUAGUCUGUGCCUUUGGAACCAAGUGACAGGUGCUGCAUGGCCGUCUUCAGCUCGUGUCGUGAGAUGUUAGGUUAAGUCCUUCAACGAGCGCAACCCUUAUGAUUAGUUGAAUUUUUCUAGUCAGACUGCCUCGGUAACGGGGAGGAAGGAGGGGAUGAUGUCAGGUCAGUAUUGCCCUUACGUCUGGGGCUAGAAACGCGCUACAAUGGCUGGUACAAUGGGCCGCUAAGUCGCGAGACGGAGCAAAUCCCAUCAAAGCCAGUCUCAGUUCGGAUUGGAGGCUGAAAUUCGCCUCCAUGAAGCCGGAAUCGCUAGUAACCGUAGGUCAGCACACUACGGUGAAUACGUUCCCGGGUCUUGUACUCACCGCCCGUCAUACCAUGAAAGUCGCCAACACCCGAAAGCUGAUCAAUAAGAUCGGUCUAAGGUGGGGGAGAUGAUUGGGGUA
This 1386-nucleotide ribosomal RNA is filed under the name uncultured bacterium. RNAcentral's name for it is "bacterial SSU rRNA". It matches the Rfam family "Bacterial small subunit ribosomal RNA". The record is from RNAcentral.